GGUUCCUUGCCGCUGUCGCCUCUGGCUUGCUCAGUUGGGGACACUUAAUUUCUAGCGAUUAUCGCCGAUUUGAUUGCACAGAUACUAUUUAAACUAAACUGAGCUAGACAAUGACAUCUCUGAAUUCAAUAAUGAAAUGCCUUUAACUGAAAAUUGAGUGUUUAAUCUUAUCAUUAUACAUUACUGACACUCUAUCCUCCAAUUUGAUACUGUUAAGUGCUUUGACACAAUCUGUAUUGUAAAAGCGCUAUAUAAAUAAAGGUGACUUGACUUGUUAGUGUAAAGUAAAUACAUUUCUUUAAAUUAAAUUAAAAAUAUUGGUUCCCAUUGUCACGUGACUUCUAACGUCAUCCGUGGUCGUGCGUGAGGACGUUCAGUUUUCCGCCAUCUUGUUACACCGCGUGGAUGAACUCGGCGUGGAAAAACGGGAAUCAAGAAAAUUGACAAGAGAUUGAGGAAAACCAACCUAGUGUUCAAGAACUGCAAGAAAGAUGGCCAGCUCUGUUUCAACAAGAGAAGAUUAAUUUUUUCGCAUCAGGACCUUACCUUUACAAUCGAGAUUUAUGACCUCUUUGGACAGACAGAGCUCUCAGCUUCUCCAGGUUAUUAGGAGCAAAGGUGGAGUCCUCCGUUAAAAAAAACUAAGGACACUAUUAAAGUUAUGGAUCAGAGUCUGGACAUAGACAUCAGAAGAGAGUGCCUGCUGAAGUGCCUGAUCAUGUACCUUGGUGAAGAUGCAAGCUGUCUGAUCAAAGAAUACCAGGCUGACCAGAGGGAGGAAGCAGAGAGAAUUUGAAAAGACCACCAUGGCAUUUUUUGUGAUCCGUGAAAGUGAUGCUCUUAGUCGUGCACCGGACAUUUCCAUUGUCAUUGACGGUGUGGAAGAACUAAAUGAGUUGCCCUCUGUUGCAUGUGCCUGUGCCAUGAUGUUUGGACUCAUUUAUGCACUGAACUUAAAAUAUCCUGAAGGACUCAAAUAUGCCUUUCAAAAAAUAAUCAUGAACAUGGAGAGUAAGCAGAUUAGAUGAAGGGCGCAGAACCUCUCUUCAAAGCUGCAGGAGUAAUUUUGUUUCCUUUGACCCAGCUACAAUGUUCUGCUGAUGGUAAAUUUCUUUGAAGAUGUUGGACUGUAUAAAGCCUUUUAUACAAAGUUAACUGUACUACUGUUUACAACCUGAUUUGUUUUAUCUUGGUUAAGUUGUGUUUUAUCUUGGGUUAGUUAAAUAGUUUACCCAAAAAUGAAAAUUCUUAGGUUGUUUACUCAUCCUUAAGCUAUUCAAGUAUUUAACUUUAAUUAAAUUAGGUUCAGAGACAUUUUAUGCCAAUUAUGAGAGAAGUUUAAUUUUUGGGUAAACUAUUCCAUGAAGGUGAAUUUUUUUUAUUUUAUUUUAUUCUUUCUACCAUUGGCUAUAAUUUGGUAGGUGUUUUAUUAAGUGUUUGGUUUUACACUGCCCAUUUUAAACCAGUUUUUGGGCCAAACUUGUUUUAACUUCAGAAGAAUUCUAAAGGUUUGAUUGUGUAGUCAGUUCUAAGUGACUGUUCAUGGAAAAAUUGCAUGAUUCUCCUCGAAACCAUAACUGAUUCUUAUGGUGAAUUUACAUUGAAUCCAGUGUGUCUAUGUAUAUGGAUACUAAAAACUGUUAUACAGUAUGUGUUUUUAUAACAAUACUAUACACAUUGUAGAAAUAUUUUUACAAAUUGUGAAGUUUAUGUGUUUACAUUGUUAGUGUGUAUGAGGAUACUGUACACAUUGUAAAAAAUUGUAUUAUGACACAAUAAAUUGUCAAAAGUU
Molecule: long non-coding RNA, 1792 nt
Organism: Onychostoma macrolepis
Lineage: Eukaryota; Metazoa; Chordata; Actinopteri; Cypriniformes; Cyprinidae
Exons: 5
Source: RefSeq, a predicted model, not a curated record